Molecule: long non-coding RNA, 1818 nt
Organism: Thunnus maccoyii (southern bluefin tuna)
Lineage: Eukaryota; Metazoa; Chordata; Actinopteri; Scombriformes; Scombridae
Exons: 3
Source: RefSeq, a predicted model, not a curated record
UUGGUUUAUUGCAUGUUACACCCAAAACACACCCAUGACUAAUUAGGAGAUUAUGGACAACCCCUUUGAACCAUGCACCUGGCGCAUUGACCAUUUUUUGUGCCGUUAAAAUAGCAAAAGUAGAUUUGAGCACACCCUAAAUGCACUUGCGCUAUGCACUUAAGACCGUGCACUUUGGAUCGUUAAAAUAGGGCCCUGUAUCUCUGUCAUCCAAAGCAACUCGAGCCUAAUUAUCAACCCUAAACCUAAAUUUAAUUAUAACUCAUUCGAAAGUCUUGUUCUUAGUCUUUCACACUCAACCUGGAAAACUUUACAGCCAAUUUUAUUAGUUAUAGUGUACCAUCAAACAUAGUCCUUAGUGCAGCUGGCAAACGUCCCUCCCUGGCUACCGUAGGGCUAGACAGGCUGUAGCACCGCCCAUUUCCUGGUUGCCAAUUUUGUUGGUCUGAUAUAUAAGCUGCACUGAAAAGACCUGGUAUGCCGCUGUUCUCCUCUGGCCCCUGGUGCGACAGGUUGUGACUGUUAGCAAGAUAACGCUCUGGUAAGGUAGUGCUUUCAGUCCUGUUUUAUCCACCAGAGGUCCCGUCCCCCAGCAAUCACCUGCUCCCAUGUGUUGAGUCUUCUGCCUGAUUAUUGCGCCAUUUGCACAUAGAGAGCUUACAUCAUGCACUGUAGCACAUGGGAUGGAUGGAUGGACAUCGGUUGAAAAAAACUGAAGUCAAAAAAGCCCUCGUAUACAAAUGCUGCUUAAAGACUGUGGAAACAUAUCAGACAAAAUGGAAACUAAAAUGAGGCUGAAAUGAGAAUCACAAUUUUGUCUGUAGAAGAGCAAGCUUUGAGCAGUAAAAUUUUCCUCUUUAGAGUCUUUUCUGAAGAUUAUUUGAAGAUUAUUUUGCAAAAUGUCCAACUUUUUAGGUCCAAGUUUGAGAUGUAUUCAGGAGCCACUCUCUCUCAUUCCAGAACAUUUCUUUGCUUUGUAAACUUUACUUUGUGAACACGAAGACCACACUAGAGCUGAAUAAAUCAAAAUGCAUGUCAAUACACCCCUAAUCCAUACAUAUGACUGAAGAGGGUCCAGUUAACUCACUUCUAUAUUUCACAUAGAUUAAGAUGAGCAAAUAUCAAAAUGAGGUACAAAACGGCUGAUAAUAAUAAAUGAGUAAUACAGUUCAUAUUGCUACCAGUGAUAAAUGCGCUAACCUUUCUGGCAGAAAUACAGUAGAUAUUAGCUACCACUGAUGAAUGCACUAAUCUUUCUAACAGAAAUACAGUAAAUAUUAUUAGUUACCAGUGAUGCAUGCACUAACCUUUCUGAAAGAAAUACAGUAGAUAGAACUACCUAAUAUCACUAACUUUCCUCACAAAAAGAUGGUUUAUCUUACUAGCUACCAGUGAUAAAAAGCUUUUAAUUCAGCAGACUGGUAGAAAAUUUUGCACUAAAUUUGCCUUCAACUGCUAAGGGGCUAAUGUUAAUGUUAACUUAGCAUUUUCUGCAAAAAUGUAGCUAGUAAGCAAACAUUAGCUAGUUAGCUUAUUAACUUUAAUAUCUUACUAGCUGCCGGUGAUGAGAUGCUUUUAAUUCAGUAGACUCGUUGAAAUUUUUCAACUAAAUUUGCCUUCAACUGCAAAGGCCCUAACAUUAAUGUUUACUUAGCAUUUUCUGAAAAAAUGUAGCUAGCAAGCCAACAUUAGGUAGUUAGCUUGUUAACUUUAAUACUUGGAUUCUGGUUUCUCUGAAGUGAUAACAGAGUAGCUUAGGUACACAGUAACUAGUAAGUAUUUUGUAUUUACUUAAACAGUAUAAUUUCAGUAACUUUA